GAUUUAUAUAUUUUUAAAACAAUCUAUGUUUUCAAAAUGAGUGGAAGCUAAUUCAUUUUUCACCAUUAAUUAUCAUUGAUUAUCAGCUUCAUUCGUUGAUAUGUCUAUGUCGUCAAAACUUUUUUGCAAAACCCAUCACUAUUUUUCACAACACCGUGGACUAGGGCAAAAGCAGUAUCAUCUAACUCGCGUACUGUAAUCAAAAGAUAUAAUACAUCCACAAAUGAAUUUACAUCUUAAAAAACAUUUGUACCUCGUGUUCUUAUUAGUGUCUAGAAAUAGAAGCUCCAAGACCACUAAGUGUCCUCUCUUCCUUUGGUGCUUGUGCUUCCUCUUCCCUUCUUAUACGAGCGCAAUCGAUAGAAUGCUUUUCAUAAGCCUCACCUCCACUGGCAUCACUGGUACCACGUACCACCGCACUAUAGAUUAGUUCCACGUCUUCAGCUGGCACAUAGACACAAGUAGAACCUUAGUGGAGAUUUAUGUUAGCUACUUGUGGUAAGUUAUUGAGAUUAACCCUGGGGAGACCAUAAUGUAGACGCAGUCCAAACCAUUGUAUGAUCCAGCAACUCAAGAUAUUCCUCUCCCUUUAUGAAGAGAACAAAAUUCUGUGUAGUGCAACUUGCGAGCAAGUCUUGACCUCUUCUAAGCCUCUCGACUUGCCUCCACACUCAAACACCAUUAUCUCCUUCUCUUCAUCUCCAUACUCUCUUUUCUUCUGGAAAUUACAUGAUUCUAUCAUUAAUCUUCACCCUUUAGAUGAUACAACUUUGAAUUUUAUCAGGGUAUUCACGGAAAGGUGCUGGAAAAUCUAUUCUACAAGACCCUCAGGUAGAACAGAGGCAAAUAUCUUUAAUUUAUCUUCAACACGAAUUUAAUUUUGGGAAGCAAAUUUUAUAAUCAAGAUUAUAUUAAGAGAACAUGUAUUUUUCAUGUCAAAUAAGAAUCAAACUGCGUCUUGUCCAAAGAUAAGAGGACAAGAGUUAAUACAUGUUCUCUUAUAAUACAUGUAUUGAGGGAACAUGAGUUAUUACAUCAUCCCUUUGAGUCGGGUAUACCAGCUGAUAUAUAUACUGUCUAGACUCUAUUGCGUUUCCUCGGUUAACCAGAACUAUAUGAACGUGGAUGACUUCUUGUUGCAAGAAACAAACCAGCAGUAAUUGAGUUGGAGGAACCGUUGUGCUUGCAAGCCUAUAACCAUGCCAAAAUUUUGUAAUAUAUAUGUUCUUUUUGCUUCCUUUUGCAUUUUUUUUGGUCUUGGUUGUUGUUAAUUCAAAUCUAUCUUUUUGAAAAUCUAGCUAAUGGUAA
This 1308-nucleotide small RNA is filed under the name Arabidopsis thaliana (thale cress). RNAcentral describes it as "ATSL106410". The record is from RNAcentral. Lineage: Eukaryota; Viridiplantae; Streptophyta; Magnoliopsida; Brassicales; Brassicaceae.